AAAUAAAUUACUAAAGAAAGUUUCACAAUUAUCUUUAACUAAACGAUGAGAAUUUAAUUCACGAUACCAAUAUGACAUAAAAUAACAAAAAGUAGAUGUAAUGAACAAAAAUUAGGUGGCACAGCCAACCAUAUAAAAAGAACGAAAAUUAGGUGGCACGGCCAACCAUAUAAUAAUGUAAAGGACAAAAAUUAGGUGGCAUAGCCAACCAUAUAACAAAGAAAGGGCAGAUCGGGAGGCUCGGCCUUCCCUUUAAGGAAAGAAAAUAAACAGAAAAUAAAAACGAAGGAGGCUCGGCCUUCCUUUAAAGUAAAAUAACUAAAGUAAUAAGAUUGAAAAAGGAACGAGUGUACCUGAUUUUUGGAGAUUAUGAAAGAGAAGAAAACCUCACAGAAAGUAGUAGAAAAUAAUCCUUGACGCAAAUCCCCGGCAACGGCGCCAAAAACUUGCUACAACUUUAAGGUUGCAAACCCAAGUGCAGGUUGUCGCAAGUAGUAAAUCUCGGAAGUCCGAGGUCGAACCACAGGGAAUUGGAAGGAAAUAAACUAUUCUAUGAGUAAUGAACGGUUGGUGGAAAUACGAUUGAGACGAACACUAGAGCGUCGGGGAUCCACUUCGGAUAAAUGAGUAGAAAUUGCCCUUGAUCUUUAAUUUAACUCAUAUGAAAAUCAACUAAGGAGUGAUCUCAUAUGGAAGAUAAAACAUUGAUCACAAAUAUAUUAAAAGAUAGAUCUUGAUAAUUGUUUGAGAGAAUAUGUCAAAAUAAGUUGUUGGAAUGUAGAGAUUAUCUAAGCAUUUAUUGUGCCAAAAUUGUCAACAAUAAAUCAAAGUCUUUAACAAACCAAAACUAUUUGUAGAACAUAUACUUCAACCAAGUAAGAAGAUGAACAUUGAAGAACAAAAUGAAAGAUCAAAGAUAAUACUAAACAUUCAUCAAAGUUUCACCCUUAGCUCUAGCUAAAUGUUUAGAAAUACAUAGUGAAAUGUUACAAAGAAAAUGAAGGAAACUAGAAUAUGAUGGAGAGAAUUUGAUGCUUCAAAAUCGUGGCCAAGGUCCCCUUUUAUAGGCAAAGGAACAUCCAAAAUUCAAGUAGGCAAUGCAACUUGUUUCUGUCCAGCUUCAAGACAGCUGGAACAUGCAACUUGAUGCCAAUUUUCAGAUACAUUGUGCAGCGACUUUGGACUUAUGAUCAACAGAUAAAUUAUUACCACUUGAGUUAUAUUUCCAUUGGUUCAAAUAUCAGGUUCAUUGGAUCUAUAUAACUCUGGAUAUGACAAAAACAAUAAGUGCUGCUUCACAGGUAAAGCUGUAUCCGGC
RNAcentral lists this long non-coding RNA (1318 nucleotides) under Olea europaea (common olive). Its description in RNAcentral is "long non-coding RNA (OEUR_LNC010313)". The record is from RNAcentral. Lineage: Eukaryota; Viridiplantae; Streptophyta; Magnoliopsida; Lamiales; Oleaceae.